Long non-coding RNA from Canis lupus familiaris (dog), 1612 nucleotides. RefSeq lists it as uncharacterized. The record is from RefSeq and is a predicted model, not a curated record. The transcript is spliced from 5 exons. Lineage: Eukaryota; Metazoa; Chordata; Mammalia; Carnivora; Canidae.
GAAUUGUGUGGGAUAGAUGUCUAUGGACUGGGCGAUGGGACACAGGUUUAUUUAGCAUCAGGGAAGAAUAUCUGCCAAAUGGGCCAGAGGAGAGGCUCAGUGAGGCAGCAUUACCAGUGGGAAGGGAAUCAAUGCAGUGUUCCAAAGCCACAGGAGAAAGGCAGAGUGCUGUGUUUCUAGCACAGGCUGACAUCGACACCACUUGCUUCAGAGAAAUCUGCCCUUGCCUGAAAUUCCAUAGGAACUAGAAGAUAUAGAGACAUAAAUUCCUGCAAGUGACUUGUAAAUCGUCUUUACUCCUCUCCACCACUAAUCUCAGGCCCUGGAAAAAGAUUUUUGAGUCCUGUGAUUUCCUUUCCUGCGGCAUUUUUAGGGUGGUCUGGUCAAAGCAUACCCUCCUCAAGCUCUGCACCUGCACCUGAGCAUCUCGACGCCGCUGAAGGAGAACACACAAUCCUGUUUACUGGUCUCAUUACAUUUAUGACCGUCAGCCUCAAACAUCGCCCCAAGAUUGCCUGUAUGCCUGCCAUAUUUCUCCAGUCAAUGCAUGCUCCCACACUCUAGCAUGACUGAGUCUACACCAUUUCUCACUUCCCCUGCCUUCCUCCCCUUUCUCAUCAGAUGACCUUGCCUUUGGUCAGAGUCAGAAUAGAACUCUCACAUCCUCUCAUCACCAAACACCCUCACCUCCCUGUGUCUGUCCCCACAGACGCUGCUUUUGGACCUGUCACAAAGCAGGGGAACCAGCUGGGCUCCUGCCCAAGGCUGGAUCCUCCAAGCCCUGGACUCCUUCCUCUCCCAGCCACCCAAGGGCUCUGUUCUUGCACCACCUGCUUCCCCUCUUGCUAGAUCACUUUCUCCAUAGCCCUGCAUCUACCAAUUUCUCCUGUCACUAAAUAAGACUUCCUUUAGUAGGUAUCCUUCUCUGGUCCUCGCCCCAUUUAUCAGAUCCCUUACACUCACACCCCUGAAGUGCUUGUUUCUAUGGCCACCUCUGCUUUCUUUCCUCGGUCUUUACAGAGCCCAUUCUGGUCAAGACUGUUCCCAACAAGGCCAGAAACUGGCCUCCAGAUCUGAGUGUGUGGUAGUAGAGAAUGCAAUGAAGCAGCCACCAGAGGGCUGCUUUUAUUACACCUGUGAAGCUCUUGGAUAAAACAAGACAGCCGUCUAACGUGGAGCUUCCCUUUGAGGAGAGUGAGCGGAGAGCUCUGCUUCUCAAGAAGUGGUCCCUGUGCAAGCAUCAAGAGCACGCAAAGGAGAAGGAUGCCAUCACAUCUAUGCUUGAGUCCCAGCAGGAAGCUCUGCAGGGGCUGGAACUCAUAUCCCCAGAGCUACAUUAGGAGGCUACCAAGCGGGACCCCAACUUGUUCCCCUUUGAAACAGAAGGGCCAGAUUACACACUACCAAUCUCCAGUUACCAGCCCCCUGAGGGCAGGUACCAUGACAUCACCAAGGUGUACACACAGGUGGAGUUUAAGAGAUAGAGCUGCAGGCACAUGUCCACAGAACACACUGCCCUUUUAACCCAGAAUGAGCAGGGCACAGGCCUGCUUGUCACAGAAUCAAGCAUGCUGUGAAUAAAUACCUUUAAUAAAGAAAAAAAAAAGUAGUA